This 461-nucleotide ribosomal RNA is filed under the name uncultured bacterium. RNAcentral describes it as "bacterial SSU rRNA". It matches the Rfam family "Bacterial small subunit ribosomal RNA", at positions 918 to 1379 of the family's 1533-position model. The record is from RNAcentral.
GGCCCGCACAAGCGGAGGAACAUGUGGUUUAAUUCGAUGAUACGCGAGGAACCUUACCCGGGCUUGAACUGCAGGGGAACGAAUCAGAGAUGAUGAGGCCCUUCGGGGCUCCUGCGGAGGUGCUGCAUGGUUGUCGUCAGCUCGUGCCGUGAGGUGUCGGCUUAAGUGCCAUAACGAGCGCAACCCCUGUCUUCAGUUGCCAUCAGGUUAUGCUGGGCACUCUGUAGAUACUGCCACCGCAAGGUGUGAGGAAGGUGGGGAUGACGUCAAAUCAGCACGGCCCUUACGUCCGGGGCUACACACGUGUUACAAUGGCGCAUACAGAAGGCAGGCCGCCGGCAACGUCGGCCGAAUCGUUAAAAUGCGUCUCAGUUCGGAUUGGGGUCUGCAACCCGACCCCAUGAAGCUGGAUUCGCUAGUAAUCGCGCAUCAGCCAUGGCGCGGUGAAUACGUUCCCGGGC